Molecule: long non-coding RNA, 342 nt
Filed under: Mytilus galloprovincialis (Mediterranean mussel)
Lineage: Eukaryota; Metazoa; Mollusca; Bivalvia; Mytilida; Mytilidae
Source: RNAcentral
AAAUAAGGGUGCAACAUUCAUUCUCCAUGAAAAGAAUACAUCACAUGGAUGUAAUUUUUGUAAGAAAAAUACCAAUUUCGUGAGAAGUUGUGUGUUGGACUUGAAGAGCCAAGGCAAACUGACAAAUAUCUGAAUGAACGAAUCGAUUUAUGGUAUAUAAAAAAAAAAGCCCACAUGGUUAGCAUUGAAUAAAUAGAAGGCCACUCUUAAAUGAUCACAACGUAGAAGUUUUUGUUCUCUUAAUCAAUAAGAUAUUUUCUGAAAUAACGCGGGUCCCUAUUAACUUAAAAGUUUUUUUGUUUUUUUUUACCAUGAAUAAACUUUUUUUUUAUUAUUAUUUAU